RNAcentral lists this ribosomal RNA (388 nucleotides) under uncultured bacterium. RNAcentral describes it as "bacterial SSU rRNA". It matches the Rfam family "Bacterial small subunit ribosomal RNA", at positions 28 to 417 of the family's 1533-position model. The record is from RNAcentral.
GACGAACGCUGGCGGCGUGCUUAACACAUGCAAGUCGAGCGGUAAGGCCCUUUCGGGGGUACACGAGCGGCGAACGGGUGAGUAACACGUGGGUUACCUGCCCUCAGCUCUGGGAUAAGCCUGGGAAACCGGGUCUAAUACUGGAUAUGACUCCAUGACGCAUGUUGUGGGGUGGAAAGCCUUGUGCGGCUGAGGAUGGGCCCGCGGCCUAUCAGCUUGUUGGUGGGGUGANGGCCUACCAAGGCGACGACGGGUAGCCGGCCUGAGAGGGCGACCGGCCACACUGGGACUGAGACACGGCCCAGACUCCUACGGGAGGCAGCAGUGGGGAAUCUUGCGCAAUGGGCGAAAGCCUGACGCAGCGACGCCGCGUGAGGGAUGACGGCCU